GACGAACGCUGGCGGCGUGCUUAACACAUGCAAGUCGAACGGAAAGGCCUGCUUUCCCUUGUGGAUUGCGGGUACUCGAGUGGCGAACGGGUGAGUAACACGUGAGUGAUCUGCCCCCAACUUGGGUAUAAGCCUGGGAAACUGGGUCUAAUUCCCGAUAGGACUGCAGGGUGGUGCCUGUGGUGGAAAACGAUUUUCUAGUGGUUGGGGAUGAGCUCGCGGCCUAUCAGCUUGUUGGUGGGGUAAUGGCCUACCAAGGUGGCGACGGGUAGCCGGCCUGAGAGGGUGGACGGCCACAUUGGGACUGAGAUACGGCCCAGACUCCUACGGGAGGCAGCAGUGGGGAAUAUUGCACAAUGGGCGGAAGCCUGAUGCAGCGACGCCGCGUGGGGGAUGACGGCCUUCGGGUUGUAAACUCCUUUCGACCGCGAGGAAGCCACCUGGUUGGAAGGGUGGUGACGGUAGUGGUAGAAGAAGCACCGGCUAACUACGUG
RNAcentral lists this ribosomal RNA (494 nucleotides) under uncultured bacterium. Its description in RNAcentral is "partial 16S ribosomal RNA". It matches the Rfam family "Bacterial small subunit ribosomal RNA", at positions 28 to 507 of the family's 1533-position model. The record is from RNAcentral.